GUACUACCAUGCAGUCGGGGGGCAGCAUGAAGUCAGCUUGCUGACUUGAUGGCGACCGGCGCACGGGUGAGUAACGCGUAUCCAACCUACCCCUUAGUAGGGCAUAGCCCGUAGAAAUGCGGAUUAAUACCCUAUGUUUUCCGAGGAUGACAUCUGACUUGGAACAAAGAUUCAUCGCUAAGGGAUGGGGAUGCGUCCGAUUAGCUUGCCGGCGGGGUAACGGCCCACCGGGGCGACGAUCGGUAGGGGUUCUGAGAGGAAGGUCCCCCACACUGGUACUGAGACACGGACCAGACUCCUACGGGAGGCAGCAGUGAGGAAUAUUGGUCAAUGGGCGCGAGCCUGAACCAGCCAAGUAGCGUGCCAGGACGACGGCCCUACGGGUUGUAAACUGCUUUUAUCAGGGGAUAAAGUGCGGGACGUGUCCCUCAUUGCAGGUACCUGAUGAAUAAGGACCGGCUAAUUCCGUGCCAGCCGCAGC
RNAcentral lists this ribosomal RNA (481 nucleotides) under uncultured bacterium. RNAcentral's name for it is "bacterial SSU rRNA". It matches the Rfam family "Bacterial small subunit ribosomal RNA", at positions 48 to 518 of the family's 1533-position model. The record is from RNAcentral.